CGUGAGGAACCUGCCUCAAAGAGGGGGACAACAGUUGGAAACGACUGCUAAUACCGCAUAAGCCCACAGCUCGGCAUCGAGCAGAGGGAAAAGGAGUAAUCCGCUUUGAGAUGGCCUCGCGUCCGAUUAGCUAGUUGGUGAGGUAACGGCCCACCAAGGCGACGAUCGGUAGCCGGACUGAGAGGUUGAACGGCCACAUUGGGACUGAGACACGGCCCAGACUCCUACGGGAGGCAGCAGUGGGGAAUAUUGCACAAUGGGGGAAACCCUGAUGCAGCGACGCCGCGUGGAGGAAGAAGGUCUUCGGAUUGUAAACUCCUGUUGUUGAGGAAGACAAUGACGGUACUCAACAAGGAAGUGACGG
This 364-nucleotide ribosomal RNA is filed under the name uncultured bacterium. RNAcentral's name for it is "bacterial SSU rRNA". It matches the Rfam family "Bacterial small subunit ribosomal RNA", at positions 116 to 496 of the family's 1533-position model. The record is from RNAcentral.